UAUAAUUCAAUCUCUAUCAAAUUUGUAACUAAACAUAAAUGUAUUGUAUAUUUCUAUUUUAAUUUAUUUUCACAUAAAUAAAAUCAGAAAUUAAUAUUAUUUUACAAAAUUAAUCACUAAAUAACUACCAUUUAUCACUUACAAAUAAAAAAAAUCAGAAUAUUAGAAUCAGCGUGAUGAAGAUUGUAUCAUAGAAGCAAGGAGGUCAAUCUCUUUCUAAUAUAUAAUGUAGUUGGGAUUUCAUGCAAUGCAAUGCAAUGUAGUUGGGAUUUCAUGUUAAUCCGAAUGAAUCAUCUUUUUUCCGGAGCGAAAUCUUUGCCUGCUAGGCAAGAUUAUAGGAUAGCAAGUUACAAAUUCUGUUUUGGUAAGACAUAUAUCCAUUUUUCAUGAUGUUAUGUAUGGAUUAAAUAUAUCAUGCGAAUUUUUCAGAAAAAAUCUGUCUUCCACAAAAGAAUCCGAUAAGUGAGAUUUCGAGUAAGUUUUUACAAAAUCUUCUUUAGUCCAAAGAAAUGAUUCAUCGAAAUAAUGAAUCGUUGAUAUCGACACAUCUGAGAUCACCAAAUGAGGGGCAAAGAGAUUGAUCGAGAAAUAUAUCUUGUUCUUAUUAUAAGAUCAUGUGAUUGGACCCACAUAUUUUUGGUAAAAAGAAUAAUCUUAUCCUUUGAGAAUAAUCAAAAAUAGAAAGUGUUCAAUUGGAACAUGAAAAAGUGACCGAGUUUAUCCUAGUUACUCUUUGGGAAGGGGUGGAAGAAAAGAGGAAAUUUUCGAACGAGGAAAGGGACCCAAUGACUUUGGAAGAAUUGAAUGAGGAUCUGUAUGAGGUGAAAAUCUCAUGUCUGGUUCUGUAGAGUGGCAGUAAGAGUGACUUAUCUGUCAACUUUUCCAGUAUCACCCUCAAAAAAUAAAACUAUGUCUUACGUAAAGUUGCCAGAAUACGAUUAACCUCGGGAUUUGAAAUCACUGCUUAUAUAUCAGGUAUUGGCCAUAAUUUACAAGAACAUUAUGUAGUCUUAGUAAGAGGGGGAAUGGUUAAGGAUUUACCCGGUGUGGGAUAUCACAUUGUUCGAGGAACCCUAGACGCUGUCGGAGUAAAGGAUCAUCAACAAGGGAGUUCUAGUGCGUUGUAGAUUCUUAUCCAAGAAUUUUAUCAUUUCACUACAAAAAAAGUUGACAUUCAUAGCACAAAAUUAUAGCUCGUUUUACUGAACUGCUAUCGUAAAUGAGUUACAAAUCUCCAAAUUCUAUAAUAGCAUUAGAUAAAAGCUAUACAAAUUUUUUAGUAAACUGAAACCUAAAAUUAGGAUUUCCUCUAGAACUCGGUAAAAAUCACAUAUGUUCUCUUUCUUGUCUCUUGUUUCCGCUCUCUUUUUUUGUUCUUUGAUCACAAUUUUCCCUCUCUCUUAUCUCACAUUUUCCCUCUUUCUUUGGAAACCCUAAAAAAAGUCAGUUUGAUUCUACAUCUCGAGACCGUAUCUUUGCAAUUCCCUUUCUUUUCCUAGGGUCUGAGACACGAGAGAUAGAAGAGAAGAGAGACAAACGAAAUGGAGAUAGAGAGGAGACAGAGCUCAGGUGUGUCUUGCUUGUGCUCUAUCGCUUUCUCUUCUUCUCCUCAGCCACAGAACAACGAGAUUGACAAGAGAAGGAUGACCGGAAGCUGUGAACGGAUCCAAGCUCAGUUGGGUCGGAUCGAGGAAGAAACCCGGCGACUUGGUAGGUGGUCAGUUGGCUCGCCGUAGAUAUAGAGUGAGUGUUUGUUAUGGAGUUGAAGACGGCAUCAGAUUUACAGCAAGAGUUUCGGGAGUGGGGAGAGUGGUGAGGCGGAAAUGAGCAGAGGCGGUGAACCUUUCGAAGAGGCUCUGAGGAUGCUGUGGUCCCGAGCUAGGAGGUUCCGCUGCAGGUUCUCUGUGGUGGGUACGAGAGAGGUGGUUUGUUUCUGGUCUUGUCAACCGUCACUCUCCGUCUCGGUGGCGUCUCGUGCUGAGCCAGUUAGCUUUCAGGAGCAUGAUCUAGGGAUGUCUCCUGUCCACUUCUCUGAUGUGGUGCUGGCUUUCUCUGUCUCUUGGUGUAGGUCCAUGGCAUGUGGCGAUCUCGGGUGGUCCUUCUCUCCAAAUAAAGCUCGUUUCUGUCUACGCGUGAACUUGCUCGGGUUUGGUGAGUUUGGUGUAGCCUAAGGUCUUGAUGUUGCUUUGCUUGUAGUUGUUGCUGGCCUUAUUUUGUUUAGAUUGAGUAGUAGAUGUGUUUAGCUUAAUUUCUUGCGUCCUCUGCUCUUUGUAACCUCUGUAUUUCUGUCUAAAACUUGAAAAUGGUAAUAAAGCUUUUACAUUGUUACCAAAAAAAAAGAAAAGUGAGAAAUCCUACUGAAGAUUACAGUGACAUUGGAGGACUGGAGAAGCAGGUAUCUUGGACUGCUGUAUUUGACUGCUCUCCCUCUUCGCAGGUGGAAGCUGUAGGACUCAACUUUAAAAAAAAUUGAAAAACAACAGCAAAAAGAAGAAGCCAUAUAGAUUGAAGGGAAGAAGAAGAAACACGAUUCUGGUGCAGCAGAGCUUUUCAUAGUUUUAAGUUGGCCUAACUUGUUCUCUGAUUUUGUUUAUUAGGUUUGAUGGUUACAUGUUUUCUUUUGAAUUUCAUACUUUCAUGUUUUGACCUUGUAAUUUUUGGAUCUUGAAUGAAAAAGAAUAUACAGUAUUUUAA
Raphanus sativus (radish) is the source of this 2694-nucleotide long non-coding RNA. RefSeq lists it as uncharacterized. NCBI's taxonomy places the organism in Eukaryota, Viridiplantae, Streptophyta, Magnoliopsida, Brassicales, Brassicaceae. The transcript has 3 exons. The record is from RefSeq and is a predicted model, not a curated record.